RNAcentral lists this ribosomal RNA (303 nucleotides) under uncultured fungus. Its description in RNAcentral is "eukaryotic LSU rRNA". Lineage: Eukaryota; Fungi. The record is from RNAcentral.
AACGCACCUUGCGCUCCUUGGUAUUCCUUGGAGCAUGCCUGUUUGAGUGUCAUGAAUAUCUCAAUCCACUAAAGGCUUGCCUUUUGGUGGACUUGGACUUGGAGGUUGCCGGUCACUCAGCUCCUCUCAAAUGUAUUAGCUGGAACCUUAUGUGUAUCUCCGGUGUGAUAAUAUCUACUCCGUCUGAUCACAAAGUCGAAGUUGCUUGCGACCGAGGCUAUUAGGAUCUGCUUCUAAUCGUCCUACCCAGGACAAUCAUUGACAUCUGACCUCAAAUCAGGUAGGACUACCCGCUGAACUUAA